RNAcentral lists this ribosomal RNA (700 nucleotides) under uncultured bacterium. RNAcentral's name for it is "bacterial SSU rRNA". It matches the Rfam family "Bacterial small subunit ribosomal RNA", at positions 96 to 794 of the family's 1533-position model. The record is from RNAcentral.
CGGCGCACGGGUGAGUAACGCGUAUGCAACCUACCUUUUACAGGGGAAUAGCCCAGAGAAAUUUGGAUUAAUACCCCAUAUUAUCUUUUAUUCGCAUGAAUUAGAGAUGAAAGUUUCGACGGUAAAAGAUGGGCAUGCGUCCUAUUAGUUUGUUGGUAAGGUAAUGGCUUACCAAGACUUCGAUAGGUAGGGGCCCUGAGAGGGGGACCCCCCACACUGGUACUGAGACACGGACCAGACUCCUACGGGAGGCAGCAGUGAGGAAUAUUGGACAAUGGAGGAAACUCUGAUCCAGCCAUGCCGCGUGCAGGAUGAAUGCCCUAUGGGUUGUAAACUGCUUUUAUACAGGAAGAAACAUUUCCACGUGUGGGAACUUGACGGUACUGUAAGAAUAAGGAUCGGCUAACUCCGUGCCAGCAGCCGCGGUAAUACGGAGGAUCCAAGCGUUAUCCGGAAUUAUUGGGUUUAAAGGGUCCGUAGGUGGUUAUUUAAGUCAGAGGUGAAAUCCUGCCGCUUAACGGUAGAACUGCCUAUGAUACUGAUUAACUUGAGUUAUUGUGAAGUAGUUAGAAUAUGUAGUGUAGCGGUGAAAUGCAUAGAUAUUACAUAGAAUACCGAUUGCGAAGGCAGAUUACUAACAAUAUACUGACACUGAGGGACGAAAGCGUGGGUAGCGAACAGGAUUAGAUACCCUGGUAGU